RNAcentral lists this transfer RNA (89 nucleotides) under Xylariaceae sp. FL0255. RNAcentral describes it as "tRNA-His". Lineage: Eukaryota; Fungi; Ascomycota; Sordariomycetes; Xylariales; Xylariaceae. The record is from RNAcentral.
GUGAGAUUGGUAUAGUGGUUAUUACUCCACGUUGUGGUCCUUGGCUAUGUAAAACCGUGGUAACCCGUGUUCGAUUCACGGAUCUCACA